Molecule: ribosomal RNA, 253 nt
Filed under: uncultured bacterium
Lineage: Bacteria
Description: partial 16S ribosomal RNA
Rfam family: Bacterial small subunit ribosomal RNA
Source: RNAcentral
UACGAAGGGGGCUAGCGUUGCUCGGAAUUACUGGGCGUAAAGCGCACGUAGGCGGCUUUCUAAGUCGGGGGUGAAAUCCUGGAGCUCAACUCCAGAACUGCCUUCGAUACUGGAGAGCUUGAGUCCGGGAGAGGUGAGUGGAACUGCGAGUGUAGAGGUGAAAUUCGUAGAUAUUCGCAAGAACACCAGUUGCGAAGGCGGCUCACUGGCCCGGUACUGACGCUGAGGUGCGAAAGCGUGGGGAGCAAACAGG